This 520-nucleotide long non-coding RNA is filed under the name Androctonus crassicauda. Lineage: Eukaryota; Metazoa; Arthropoda; Arachnida; Scorpiones; Buthidae. The record is from RNAcentral.
UGUUAGUAACAUGGAGCAUACUACUACAAACUCAUGCCCUGAUCUGUUUCAGAGUGGUCUGUGGUCGUUUAGAAAUGCCUAGAAUGGAUAUUGGUUUUGGCGGAGUUGCCCACAACACAUUGUGAUUGCCUUACGAUGACCGCAAAGCAAAAUGGUGUUGAUCAUUGGUGUUUGGUCAUUUGGAACUGGCCACAAUGUGUUGUGGCUGUUUUUUUUUUUUUCAGUCGUACAAUUUCAGUGUUUGGCCAUAACAUAUGUACUAAUUAUAAAGUUAUACAUGAGAAUUUUAGUUGGUAGAAAGGUAUUAUUUUUUAAGGGAAAACAUCAGUUGGAUGACAGUAUGAUAAAACAAUGGCUUAUCAUUUUGGAUGAACCAAGUUCAAUUCUGGGCACUACAUCUCCAGUUUUUCAGGAUGUAUCCAGAACUGCCCAUUGAACCCCAUCUUUCAAUCUUUUGGUUGAUUCCAUCAUGGGUGUUGGCCAGUUUUAUAUCUGCAUUUUAGCAAUCAUAUUUGUGUAU